This 72-nucleotide transfer RNA is filed under the name Bacteroidota bacterium. RNAcentral describes it as "tRNA-Arg". It matches the Rfam family "tRNA". From Rfam's summary of the family: Transfer RNA (tRNA) molecules are approximately 80 nucleotides in length. Their secondary structure includes four short double-helical elements and three loops (D, anti-codon, and T loops). Further hydrogen bonds mediate the characteristic L-shaped molecular structure. tRNAs have two regions of fundamental functional importance: the anti-codon, which is responsible for specific mRNA codon recognition, and the 3' end, to which the tRNAs corresponding amino acid is attached (by aminoacyl-tRNA synthetases). tRNAs cope with the degeneracy of the genetic code in two manners: having more than one tRNA (with a specific anti-codon) for a particular amino acid; and 'wobble' base-pairing, i.e. permitting non-standard base-pairing at the 3rd anti-codon position. Lineage: Bacteria; Pseudomonadati; Bacteroidota. The record is from RNAcentral. RNAcentral also lists the same sequence under 2 other names.
GGUUCCGUAGUUCAACGGAUAGAAUAGAAGUUUCCUAAACUUUUGAUCCCAGUUCGAUUCUGGGCGGGACUA